UGGUCACCUGCACUAACAGCCUGAGAGAAAAGGACACUGCAUAUCACAGAGAGAUGCAUAGAUGUUACACUCAGAAAGAGAGUGAACAACUAGAAGAUGUGGAAGAACCAGUUUGGCUCUGGAGUCAAGAAUUCUCAAAACAGCUUUCUGAACCUGAAUCGCACGCAGUAAAGCUGGUGUUCUCCUGAAGCCAACAUUUAUGGUAUCACCUUGCUGAUCCAGGCAAAAUGGCAAAAGUGUAGUGAACAUAAAGCCAGGGGCUGAGAUUGUGGAUGUCCUCUGUACCAAGUUUCUUAUUAUGGUAAGGGUAGAAGUUCACCAGGUCAGUAAUGUGAUUUUGUCCAAAGAGCCAUUUCUGGAGAUCUAGCCUAAACAUUGCUCCUCCAACUCUUCCCAUAAUUUGUUAACAAUUGAAUAAUUGUUCUGUUUAAAAUAGUUUGGAUGUUUUAUGUUUUCUGCAACUUUACUGUUAUCAUAACAAAGACAUAAAUAAAGAUCUAAAUAAAGUCA
This 510-nucleotide long non-coding RNA is filed under the name Homo sapiens (human). RNAcentral describes it as "non-protein coding LINC01360:9". Lineage: Eukaryota; Metazoa; Chordata; Mammalia; Primates; Hominidae. The record is from RNAcentral.